Molecule: ribosomal RNA, 496 nt
Filed under: Weissella confusa
Lineage: Bacteria; Bacillati; Bacillota; Bacilli; Lactobacillales; Lactobacillaceae
Description: partial 23S ribosomal RNA
Rfam family: Archaeal large subunit ribosomal RNA
Source: RNAcentral
CUGGGAGGCAUCGACUCCUAAUUUUAAAUACAUCUCAAGACCGAUAGCGUAUUUAGUACCGUGAGGGAAAGCUGAAAAGGAUCCUUAGUAGGAUGUGAAAUAGAACCUGAAACCAGAUAGUGACAGCCAGACAUGGCAUUUAAGGAACGAAGUCUUUCGAAAGAAACUGUGGUGACAUGGGAGUAUGAGUUAGAUGGACUAGUGUUGUGUCGUCCGUCUUGAAACACGGGCCAGGGAGUUCUUUGUUGUGGUGAGGCUAAGGAGUUUAACUUUGUAGUCGUAGGGAAACCAAUAUGCCCGCAGCAUUUUUUGUGAGGGGCAAGGUCUUAAUAGGGCCUGGAAUCACAGCAUUGAAACCCGAAGCCGGUCGAUCUAUUCCUGAGCAGGAUGAAGUCGCUCUUACGAGCGAUGGAGGUUCGACGAGUUGUUGUUCUGCAAAACACUCUCUUGACUUGGGAAUAGUGGUGAAAGGCCAAUCAAGGCCGGUGACAGCUGG